Molecule: non-coding RNA, 202 nt
Organism: Pelobates cultripes (western spadefoot toad)
Lineage: Eukaryota; Metazoa; Chordata; Amphibia; Anura; Pelobatidae
Source: the annotation of a GenBank genome assembly
CCCACACACUGACAGAUAUACUGACACCCACAUACACUGAGAAAUACUGACACACACACACAGGCACAUACACUGACACACACAGACUGAUAUACUGACACACACACACACACAGACAUACUGGCACACAGACAGAUAUACUGACACAUGCAUACACAUGCACUAACAGACAUACUGACACACUGACAGACAUACUGACACA